AGGAUUUGUCCUUAGUACGAGAGGACCGGGAUGAACAUACCUCUGGUGUACCAGUUGUUUCGCCAGAAGCAACGCUGGGUAGCUAAGUAUGGAAGGGAUAACCGCUGAAUGCAUCUAAGCGGGAAACCCACCUUGAAACUAGGUAUCCCAAUUAAGACCGUGGUAGACCACCACGUUGAUAGGUUGGGUGUGUAAGCACAGCAAUGUGUUUAGCUAACCAAUACUAAUAGUCUGAUUGGCUUGAUUUACUUA
Molecule: ribosomal RNA, 252 nt
Filed under: Azospirillum sp.
Lineage: Bacteria; Pseudomonadati; Pseudomonadota; Alphaproteobacteria; Rhodospirillales; Azospirillaceae
Description: partial 23S ribosomal RNA
Rfam family: Bacterial large subunit ribosomal RNA
Source: RNAcentral